Molecule: small RNA, 74 nt
Filed under: Falsiroseomonas stagni DSM 19981
Lineage: Bacteria; Pseudomonadati; Pseudomonadota; Alphaproteobacteria; Acetobacterales; Roseomonadaceae
Description: Makes More Granules Regulator RNA (mmgR)
Rfam family: Makes More Granules Regulator RNA (mmgR)
About the family: SuhB later renamed mmgR (makes more granules regulator) was a putative non-coding RNA found multiple times in the Agrobacterium tumefaciens genome and related alpha-proteobacteria. Other non-coding RNAs uncovered in the same analysis include: speF, ybhL, metA, and serC. Several studies inSinorhizobium meliloti showed that suhB element is indeed a non-coding RNA:firstly it was detected on Northern blot and called Sm8RNA, secondly in an RNAseq study referred to as SmelC689.
Source: Rfam by way of RNAcentral
GUUGUCUGUCUUUCUUGGACGUUUCCUCCCUAAACUCGGCGGUCCCUCACGGGACCGCCCUUUUUUUUGCCCGG